GAUGAACGCUGGCGGCGUGCCUAAUACAUGCCAGUCGAGCGAACGGACGAGAAGCUUGCUUUUCUGAUGUUAGCGGCGGACGGGUGAGUAACACGUGGAUAACCUACCUAUAAGACUGGGAUAACUUCGGGAAACCGGAGCUAAUACCGGAUAAUAUUUUGAACCGCAUGGUUCAAAAGUGAAAGACGGUCUUGCUGUCACUUAUAGAUGGAUCCGCGCUGCAUUAGCUAGUUGGUAAGGUAACGGCUUACCAAGGCAACGAUGCAUAACCGACCUGAGAGGGUGAUCGGCCACACUGGAACUGAGACACGGUCCAGACUCCUACGGGAGGCAGCAGUAGGGAAUCUUCCGCAAUGGGCGAAAGCCUGACGGAGCAACGCCGCGUGAGUGAUGAAGGUCUUCGGAUCGUAAAACUCUGUUAUUAGGGAAGAACAUAUGUGUAAGUAACUGUGCACAUCUUGACGGUACCUAAUCAGAAAGCCACGGCUAACUACGUG
Molecule: ribosomal RNA, 497 nt
Filed under: uncultured bacterium
Lineage: Bacteria
Description: partial 16S ribosomal RNA
Rfam family: Bacterial small subunit ribosomal RNA
Source: RNAcentral